CCUACAGGAGGAUAGUUAUCCAGGAACAGAGUUGGAGAGCCCUGCUUUAGUGUGUGCAGACAGUAUAGUCAGUGGUGGAGGAGAGAGGGUGUAGAGUGACACACACAGCAUUUGAUUUGAUGUUAGCUGCUGGUGAUGGGCAGGACUCACAGGAGGUCUCAGCAGGACCAAAGAAGAGCCCAUGCCUCAGCCCCCAGCACCCAGCCCUCCAUCCCCUAGACCCCAGGAUGGAGCAGAGAGGAUGGAGCUACAGUCAAACCCACAGUGAGAUAGGACAUCCUGAAGGCUGCCUGCAUGUUGCUCUGAGCAAAGAACUGAUUGGCAGACAGGCCUGGGCAGGAGUAUUUCCAUUUCUUAAUUUGUUCCAUGGCAUCUUGAUAUCCUCCAUGACUACAGCCGGGAGUGUUUCCUGUACAUGUGACCUAGGAAGGAAACACUAAGGCCCCACCCAUGACAACUGACAAAGAGGAAAGGGAAAUGUACAGUAGUCUACAAGCUUCGCUCGGUCAACAUUACAAUUCCAAGAUCCACCCCUAGGCGUAUGACUAAGCCAACAGACCAGACAGCCCCUCAUCAGUCAGAGCAUGUCAGCCCCAAGGUGCCCAGCAGGGGAGCAGCAACCUGGUACCCAUUCUAAUUGCUACCAGUUCAACAGAGAGAGAGAGGAAUGGAGGAAGAGACUGGAGGCAGGGUCAGAGGGGACACUCCCUGUCACGCUCCACCAGGCAUGUGUGUCCGUCCGGCCCUGGAUGCUGUUCCGUUGUCACAUGGCAGAACCAGUGGUGGCCUCACGGCCUCCUCACAGCUGCACAGGAAGUGAGCCCCAGCAGGAGGGAGACAGUGACCCACAUCUGACCCACAACAAUAACAACAACAAUGCCUAGACUGCUUGGGUUCUUAAUAUGCCUUCUUUCUCCUCCUUCGCCUCCUAAGUCUACUGUCUCUACAUGUGGUCUGUAAAUGGAAUACCUACUGCAGCGCUGUUGGGGUUUGUUCUUAGAAUCUAAGAGAAUAUCAAAAGGAUUUGGUCAUAGCGAUUUGAUUAGAAUCCUUAUAGGCGACCACCAUCGUAUCUCACUUUUGUUAACGUUCAAUUAAACCUGCAUUGUAUAGUGUAAGGGUGAGCUAUUUGAUUUGCAUAAUGUUUGAAAUGAUUUGUGCUAACGGGUGAGGGAGGGAGGGAGAAA
Molecule: long non-coding RNA, 1187 nt
Organism: Salvelinus sp. IW2-2015
Lineage: Eukaryota; Metazoa; Chordata; Actinopteri; Salmoniformes; Salmonidae
Exons: 3
Source: RefSeq, a predicted model, not a curated record